CCGUAGCCCAAGAGAUCGGGAUAACACCUGGAAACAGAUGCUAAUACCGGAUAACAAUAGAUGAUGCCUAUCAACUGUUUAAAAGAUGGUUCUGCUAUCACUCUUGGAUGGACCUGCGGUGCAUUAGCUAGUUGGUAGGGUAACGGCCUACCAAGGCGAUGAUGCAUAGCCGAGUUGAGAGACUGAUCGGCCACAUUGGGACUGAGACACGGCCCAAACUCCUACGGGAGGCAGCAGUC
RNAcentral lists this ribosomal RNA (239 nucleotides) under uncultured Lactobacillus sp. Its description in RNAcentral is "partial 16S ribosomal RNA". It matches the Rfam family "Bacterial small subunit ribosomal RNA", at positions 125 to 355 of the family's 1533-position model. Lineage: Bacteria; Bacillati; Bacillota; Bacilli; Lactobacillales; Lactobacillaceae. The record is from RNAcentral.